This 551-nucleotide ribosomal RNA is filed under the name Trapezia cymodoce. RNAcentral describes it as "partial large subunit ribosomal RNA". It matches the Rfam family "Bacterial large subunit ribosomal RNA", at positions 1826 to 2625 of the family's 2925-position model. Lineage: Eukaryota; Metazoa; Arthropoda; Malacostraca; Decapoda; Trapeziidae. The record is from RNAcentral.
GUCUAUUAUGAAGUUAUUUAUAGUUUGGCCUGCUCCCUGACUAUAAAGUUAAAGAGCCGCGGUAAUUUGACCGUGCAAAGGUAGCAUAAUCAUUAGUUUCUUAAUUGGGAACUUGUAUGAAAGGUCUGACAAAGGAAAAGCUGUCUUUAUUGUAAAGGUUGAAUUUAACUUUUAAGUGAAAAGGCUUAAAUGAUUUAGAGGGACGAUAAGACCCUAUAAAGCUUUAUAUAAAAAAUAAUCAAAAUUGAAUUUAUAAUAAAAAUUUAAAUUAAUUAUUAUAUUUUAUUGGGGUGAUAUUAAUAAAAGUAAUAUUAACUGUUAAAAAAAAAAUACGUGAAUAAAAGAAUUGAAUAUAUUAAUGAUCCUUGUUUAAAGAUUAAAAGAUUAAGUUACUUUAGGGAUAACAGCGUAAUUCUUCUUAAGAGUUCAUAUCGAAAGAAGAGAUUUUGACCUCGAUGUUGAAUUAAAAUAUCUGUGUAAAGUAGCCAUUACAUGAGAAGGUCUGUUCGACCUUUAAAUUUUUACAUGAUUUGAGUUCAAACCGGCGGGAG